GUACGAUAAUUACUGUCCUUCAUGAGGACAUUUAUUCAAGUGGAGAUGGAUUUACAUUUCCUUUACAAAUGGAGUACCUUGCUGACAUCACCAUAAACCGAGCCUUUGAUAACCGGGUUGGCAGCAGAUGUUCACGGGCAGGACUGGGGAAGUGGAGGUGGUAGGGUUCGGGUACUACGAGCUGCAUGAGGUCUACGGUGAAGUCGAGUUUAGAUGUCGACGAUCUUAUAAAGUUGCUCCAUAGUCCGGAUCUGGUGAAACUCAAGCUUAGUCGAUUGGAAAUUGAAGUCAGAGAUAAAGACCGCGAACUGAGCAAAUCACAAGCUUAGAUCAAAACGCUCCAUCUCUUUGAACGACUGAGAGAAAAGGCUAUUGAAGAGCUCAGUCAGUCACCUGAUGACAAGUUCUUGAAGCAGAGAGUUCUCUUGAAGAAGAGUUUUGGACUGCUUCCAACCCAAAAACCUCCCAGCAAGUUUUGAGUAUAAUUACAAUUGCUACUGUUAUCUUAAUGUAUGUUUAGGUACUUCUUAACUUAUGAAUCAUGGUAGGACACCACAAAAGGAGAUGACGUAGGGCUGAUACUAAAACUGAUGCAGCAAGUGCAUUUUUGGCUUCUCUCGAGGAACCCAAACUCACGAAUCUUGCAGAUGCAACAAAG
This is a long non-coding RNA of Helianthus annuus (common sunflower), 658 nucleotides long. RefSeq lists it as uncharacterized. The record is from RefSeq and is a predicted model, not a curated record. Lineage: Eukaryota; Viridiplantae; Streptophyta; Magnoliopsida; Asterales; Asteraceae. The transcript has 4 exons.